GACGAACGCUGGCGGCGUGCUUAACACAUGCAAGUCGAACGGUAAGGCCCUUCGGGGUACACGAGUGGCGAACUGGUGAGUAACACGUGGGUGAUCUGCCCUGCACUUCGGGAUAAGCCUGGGAAACUGGGUCAAAUACCGGAUAGGACCACUGCCUGCAUGGGUGGUGGUGGAAAGCUUUUGCGGUGUGGGAUGGGCCCGCGGCCUAUCAGCUUGUUGGUGGGGUGAUGGCCUACCAAGGCGACGACGGGUAGCCGGCCUGAGAGGGUGACCGGCCACACUGGGACUGAGAUACGGCCCAGACUCCUACGGGAGGCAGCAGUGGGGAAUAUUGCACAAUGGGCGCAAGCCUGAUGCAGCGACGCCGCGUGAGGGAUGACGGCCUUCGGGUUGUAAACCUCUUUCAGCACCGACGAAGCGCAAGUGACGGUAGGUGCAGAAGAAGGACCGGCCAACUACGUGCCAGCCGCCGCGGUAA
Molecule: ribosomal RNA, 478 nt
Filed under: uncultured bacterium
Lineage: Bacteria
Description: partial 16S ribosomal RNA
Rfam family: Bacterial small subunit ribosomal RNA
Source: RNAcentral